CAGGCACCCUACUGAGAUGAGUUCUUUUUAAAAGAGCUACUUUCCAUGGCGAAUCCAUUUUGGCGAAUAGAAAAUUCAUCAUGCUUACCACACCAAGUAGCAGGAAGGCAGGCUUGCCAGCCGUCCCCUCCUUCCUUGCCCUAGUCUCCAGUACUGUUCCAGCUGGCCUGUAACCUCCAGAAUCCUCCCACGGAUAUGCAGAAAAAAAGAUCCGAAUACUGUCAGCCUGGAGUGGAAUCGAAUGAGCUGUGUAUGAACAGCUGUCCUAAGCAGUUAGAUUCCCUGAGCCUUUUGCCAAAAGAUAAGUAUUUCAUGCCCUGGAAAGGGAGCCUGGAGCUUAACAAUAUAAAAAUUGGAAUUAGUUGAGAGUACUACAACAUCUGAGGAUCUCCAUGAUCUGAAACUAACUUAUUUUGUUUACCACUUCAUUAUAUGACGCUUAGCAUUACAUUCAUACUGCAUGAGACUAUUCCCCAUUUUUGACAUAACACUGUACUUUUACUCACUUCGGGCACCCUGGCUUAUACCAUCAGCCUUACGCUCUAUUACUUUUCCCUCCUUCAUCCCUAAAUGUUCAAGCUCUACGUCUUCAUUUGGGCCUUAAAGAGUAAAUAGGUAUUCUAUAUAUUGAAACCACACCUUACAAUACUUUACAAUACUGAAGAGUGGUUUAGAUAACACUUGCUCUCUUGCUUUCAUGUUAAUGUUACUAUUCUGGGGGGAUAUUUCUGGAUUGGUUUUCUUGAUAGAUGAAAUGGCCUGUGAAUGCAGUCAGUGAGUUGGAGUUCAUGAAGGUAUUCAGGGUUGAAUAUCUACAAAGUCUGCUUUUUCUGCCUUGGAGAACUGUGGUUUCAUGAUUGAGUUUGUCACAUGGUGAAUAAGCAAAGAGAAAACAAUCUUCAUGAAGUUUCAGCUUCAUUGCCAAAGAGUGGUUUUCAAAAUGGCAAUUUGCUGCUUCCAUGUUGUAGUGUAACAUUUUGUUUACCCUCAGUUGUUAAAAUCAAUUGCGGUUGGUUGCAAUUCCUGAGGGGCCUACCUUUAUAAUGUAAGGUUUGAAUAAUUUGUCAAAAGUGCUAAGCUCUAGAUUUAUAGUUUCAAAAAAAAAAUAAAAAAAAAUCCUUUGAUUUUCCCAAAGUGAUACUAUGAACCUUUGAAAUGGCUUGACUUUGCCCAGGUUUCCCUGCAGAGCAUACAGGCUUUGUGGUCAGUAUUUUGAUCCCCAAAGGAAUGCCUUUUGGAAAUGCCAAGCUAGCACAAAUGCUGAAGCUUAUAAGUGCCUGCUGCUCUACUACUACUGUUGUGUGUCUUGUUGAAGUUUCCUUUAUGUACUUCAAAGACAUUGAAACAAAUCAGAAAACUGUAUCAAGGGGUGAGGGAAAAUAGCAGGAGAGAUUACAUUUCAUUGUUUCUUUUAUUCUUCAGUUCUAGUUCCUAGACUUUCAGACAAGUAGAGUGAGAUGAAAGAUGGUGCCUGCUGUUUUACUGAAAGAGUCUUGGUUCCUGUUGCUCAGGACAAUUGUGAGGCUGAAGCAUUGAAGAAAUGUAAGAAAUUAUUGGAAUUGCCUCACAGAAGAUGGGCCCAGCUGAUCUUUGGUACUUUUUCCAACAUUUAUAUAAACACAUUAUCUCACCAUGUGUUUGCUUAAGUAAGAUUGCAGAUUUCAGUAGGCAUACUCACCAAAUUGUGAAUCUGGAACUGGGAGAGUAGAUUGGUCUGUGAUUUUCCCUGGAGUCAUAGGAACAGAGUGUUCAAAUUUCUACCUCGUUUACGUUUUGGAUUGGGUACCAUGUGCUAAAGGAAUGUGCAGUGGCCUGAGAGACUCCUGCUAUUUUCAAGAAGGUUCUACCUGAGGAGUUAACUACAGAAUAGUAACACAGUGGAUUAAUAUGGUACUUUUACUUUUCUCCUUUUUAUUAUUUCCUUCCUUCCUGCCACAAACAGCUGUGCACUUACAAUCUAUCUAUAUGAACAAAAGAAUUAUUCGUUCUAGUACUCACAUUUGCUUGUAGGAGUUCGAAUUUUGUUAGCAUGAGUUUAAGUCUUUAGGAAAUUGGAUAGGCAAUAUCCACUUAAUUUUUCAUUUUAUCUAUUCAUUGAAGGAAAGGCACUAUAUUUCAGUAGAAACAACAAGAAAAUAUGAAUACGAUUUUGGUGCACUGAUUUCUUGUUUGGCCAUUUUUCUUUCUGCUGACGAAAGAGAGUCUGUAAAGAGAUGAAAAGAUCUAUUUGGAAUAGACUAUGUCUUAUGCAAUGGAAAUACCUUUUAUUUUGGCAUUGAGGGUGAAUGGAGAAAGCAUCUACUGUGUUUGCAUCACACCUCUAUGAAAUAAAGCAUGGCAUAGUAUUUAUGCCACUGUCUUAUUCCAUUCAGUGUUGCUAUAAAGGAAUAUCUGAGGAUGAAAAGACAUUUAUUUGGCUCAUUCUGCAGACUGAGCAAGAAACAUGGCACCAGCAUUUGCUUCUGGUGAAGGCCUCAGGCUGCUUCCACUCAUGGUGGAAGGUAAAGGGGCCUGUUUUGUAGAGAUCACACAGUGAAAGAGAAAACAAAGAGAGCAAUAGACAUGCUGGGCACUUUCUAACAUCCGACUCUAGCAGGAACUAACAGAGUGAGAACCCACCCACCACCCCAACACUCCCUCCAGGGAAGACAUUGAUCUAUUCAUGAGGAAUCAGUGCCCAGCACCCAAACACUUAUUAGACCCCACUUCCAACAUUGGAAUCAAAUUUCAACAUGGGAUUUGGAGGAAACAAACAUCAAAAACAUAACACCUACUGAUAUCUUCUGUUCUUAUAAUCAGGAUUCUCACUCUGAAUAGACAAUAAAGAAAGAAGAGAAAACCCAUACCACCAACCUAAGCCGUUUAACCCAAUUUUUAAUUUAAAACUAUAUGAAUAAGUAAACAUAAAUCAAUUAGCAGAAAUUUCAUCAAAGCUAGCAACACAAAAGAUAAUGAAAAAGGGGAAAAAGAAAAGAAAAAAAACAACUAACUCUGGAUAAAUCAAUAAAAUUCAUGGAAGAAAAUAGAACUUUAAAUGCAUUUCAUUUAAAAGCUUACAGCAAUCCAAUGAUUUUUUUUUUCCAUCAAAUAAACCAACAUGCUCCUUUUAGAAAGGAGAAGUCUUCAAAAAGGAAGAGUUAAUGUCAAUUUAAAAUAUUGGCCAAAAUUUUUAAAGUUAACAGUAGAACUGGAGAAAAGUUCAAGUAAAUCUUGUAGAAUAUUAUUUAAAUGAAAAUGUAAAGUUUGACAGAAAAGAUGAAAGACAGAGAGAGACAACAUCCAUCUAAGUGAAAACAAAGGGGGGAAGUUUUGAAGAAACCUCAGAAGAAAUACAUACAGUGCUAAGCAGGGUUAAAGCAGAAAGAUAGAAUGCAGCAAAAACAAAAAAAAUUAAAAAUUGUUUCCAUAGGUUAUUUGGGAACAGGUGGUGU
Molecule: non-coding RNA, 3431 nt
Organism: Macaca mulatta (Rhesus monkey)
Lineage: Eukaryota; Metazoa; Chordata; Mammalia; Primates; Cercopithecidae
Source: RefSeq, a predicted model, not a curated record